GACGAACGCUGGCGGCAUGGAUUAGGCAUGCAAGUCGAACGAAAAGCAGGAGCUUGCUCCUGUGGACGAGUGGCGAAAGGGUGAGUAACGCGUGAGUAACCUGCCCUCAAGUUGGGGAUAACUCCUGGAAACGGGAGCUAAUACCGAAUGUGAAUAUCUUCUCGCAUGGGUGGAUAUUUAAAAAUUUAUUGCUUGAGGAUGGGCUCGCGUACCAUUAGCUAGUUGGUGUGGUAACGGCACACCAAGGCGACGAUGGUUAGGUGGAUUGAGAGAUCGGUCACCCACACUGGGACUGAGACACUGCCCAGACUCCUACGGGAGGCUGCAGUCGAGAAUCUUCCGCAAUGCGCGAAAGCGUGACGGAGCAAUGCCGCGUGGUGGAUGAAGGCCUUAGGGUUGUAAACACCUGUCACAUGGGACGAAUUUUGACGGUACCAUGAGAGGAAGCCACGGCUAACUACG
This 462-nucleotide ribosomal RNA is filed under the name uncultured Victivallaceae bacterium. Its description in RNAcentral is "bacterial SSU rRNA". It matches the Rfam family "Bacterial small subunit ribosomal RNA", at positions 28 to 505 of the family's 1533-position model. The record is from RNAcentral. Lineage: Bacteria; Pseudomonadati; Lentisphaerota; Lentisphaeria; Victivallales; Victivallaceae.